Brassica napus (rape) is the source of this 2677-nucleotide long non-coding RNA. RefSeq lists it as uncharacterized. The record is from RefSeq and is a predicted model, not a curated record. The transcript has 4 exons. Lineage: Eukaryota; Viridiplantae; Streptophyta; Magnoliopsida; Brassicales; Brassicaceae.
UUCGCAACGGUACGUUUCUUGUCUUUUUCUUUAGUUCCACCUUCUCUAUCUUAAUUUUCUUAUUCACUGCAUUUUUUUUUUUGAGAAUUUGGGGAAGAAACCUCAACUAAAGAUGCUCUUAGACCAUGUUUAUCACGGUCGCUUAAGGUGUUUCUUAAGCAUAUUUAGCAUUAAAAAAAAAGAAGAGAAAACACUUUUAAGCUAAGCAAUGUUCCUUAAUUAAGAGGCAGAAGAACCGGUUCCUCUUGGACACGCGUCAGAGCGAGAGGUGUUUUGGGAGGAGAAAACGAAAGGUGAAAAAAAUCAGUUUCAUUUUCGAAGCUUUCAUCCGCUUUCUCUCUUCGACGGCGAAGAGGCGAAAACCGUUGUCUCGACGAAGCUAAUCGAUGAAAAUCGAAGGUUCUUCUCCUCGACGAAGUGAUUAAACUCCCCGGGUGGUCUCCUCGACGAAGUGAAGCAACAAAUCCGGUUGCGAUCCUCGACGAAGUGAAGAAAGGAAACUGGUUGCGGUCCUCGCCGAAGAAGUGAAUCGAAGCUAACCGAAGGUGGCUCAGUUCGACGGCAAAGCUAAUCGUCAGUUGCUCCUCCGUGGAAUCGAAAGAAUGAGCAAGUGUUGUCAAGCAAAAGGAGGAGAAUAGCAAUACAGAGAAGAUGAAUGCGUCUUCGAACAACAGAGGUCAAAAAUGCUGUGAUCGAGUGGAGAAGUGAGUUGUCUUCUCUAGUCACGGACAAGAAUAAUGCAAGGCAAGCUGUUUGUGUCAUCGAGUGGAGAAGUGUGUUGUCUUUUCUGGUCGCGGACAAGAAUAAUGCAAGGCAAGCUGUUUGUGUCUUCACAUGUUUUUGUAUUGUUGUGGACAGUAGAGAAAACACAUGUCUUUGUAAUGUUGUGGUCAGAAUGUCUUUAAACACAUGUCUUUGUAUUGUUGUGGUCAUGUACUAUAGUGUGGUUCCUUUUCUAUAUAUGUGUUUGAAUCCGCGAAGUUUUAAUUCACAAAGUCAUUCACUCACAAAGACGUUCUUCUCUCCUUCUCACAAAGACAUCACACAAGUUCUUCCUCCUUCUCACAAAGUCAUCACUCGUUCUUCUAUCCUUUUAACAAAGUCUUUAUCUUAUUCUGCUCUCCUUCUCACAAAGACAUCACCCAAGUUCCAAAUUUUAUUCACAAAUAAAUCAAAACACUUUUUUCGUUUUGAUCACAUAUAUGGCAUCUUCUUCUCUUAACACUUUUGAGGGAGUAGAUGUACAUGAUGAAAUGCUUGAUCAACAAUUUGAUCAAACAUUCGAGAAUUUAUCCAUUGGUAAUCAAGAAGAACAAAGGAAAAGAAGGAAAAAACGAGUUCAUAUCGAAAGAAAUCGUGAAGAAGGCGAUGUAGGUUUAUGGAAUGAUUAUUUCAGUGAAACUCCAACAUAUCCUCAAAAUCUAUUCUGACGACGAUUUAGAAUGAACAAGCCAUUGUUCAUGCGUAUUGUCGAUCGACUCUCCAACGAAGUUGAAUUCUUUCGACAAAAGAAAGAUGCUCUCAGAAGGCUUAGCUUCUCUCCACUUCAGAAGUGUAUAGCAGCCAUUCGUGUAUUGGCCUAUGGUAUUGCGGCUGAUGUUGUUGACAAAUAUCUCCGACUCGGUGCAACGACAACUCGGUCAUGUGUGGAACAUUUUGUGAAAGGAAUAAUAUAUUUAUUCGGCGAUGAGUACCUAAGAAGACCGACACCGGCUGAUCUUCAACGUCUACUUCAUAUUGGUGAGCAACGUGGAUUUCCGGGGACGAUAGGAAGCAUCGAUUGUACGCAUUGGGAGUGGAAGAAUUGUCUCACCGCUUGGAAAAGUCAAUAUUCACGUGGUUCGGCAAAACCCACAAUCGUUUUAGAGGCGGUUGCUUCGUAUGAUCUAUGGAUAUGGCAUGCGUUUUUUGGACCUCCAGAGUUCCAACAAGGAGAAGACACCGGAAGUUCACAUGUCGAUCUCAAUUUUUCUACAGAUAUGCCGACAAAUAUCGCCAAUAUGAUGGGUGUUCGAACUAGAAUUCGUGAUAGACCAAUGUACUAACAACUGAAAGAUGAUUUGUUUGAACAUAUAUGGCGUAAAUUUGGACGUGAUGGAGACAAUUACUGAGCUCAGAUGUUUUUUUCAAAUUAUUCUCGAUUAUUGUACCAAUCUUUAUUUUUAUGUUUUAAUUUUAAAAUCUAUGUUUAAAAUGUUAUCUUUUGAUAAGUUUUAUUUAAUAAAUCAAUUUUAUCUUUAUAAAACAAAGUUUAAUAAUUUUGUUUUAAGAACCCCUUAAUAAGAAACUUGUAUUGGAACAAAACAAAAUGGUGUCUCUUAUGACAGUCUCUUAUAUCACUUUUACUAAUUAAAAAUGUUUAAGAGCCCCAAAGUGAGUAUAUGAGUUAAUCAUGCUCUUGAGGGCAUAAAAACACAUGUUAGUUUCUCAAAAAUUAUAUAAAAAAAAAAUUGUUGUAUAUUUAUUUUUAAUAUCAUGAAAAUAUAUAAACCAAUAGAUUUUAGACAAGUGUAGAAUUGCUGUUUUAAUAACUAGUGAGAGUUUCUUUAUAAAGAGAUUCACUCUCUUUUCUCUCUUAAUUUUCAUUUAUUUAUAUUUCCUUAAUUAUGAGAGACUCUUUGAGAGAUUUGUCAAUGCUAGUGCUUAGAGUCUGAAACCAUUAAUAUCCGCAAAGUAU